RNAcentral lists this ribosomal RNA (590 nucleotides) under Debaryomyces vindobonensis. RNAcentral describes it as "partial large subunit ribosomal RNA". It matches the Rfam family "Eukaryotic large subunit ribosomal RNA", at positions 50 to 655 of the family's 3401-position model. Lineage: Eukaryota; Fungi; Ascomycota; Pichiomycetes; Serinales; Debaryomycetaceae. The record is from RNAcentral.
GCGGAGGAAAAGAAACCAACAGGGAUUGCCUUAGUAACGGCGAGUGAAGCGGCAAAAGCUCAAAUUUGAAAUCUGGCACCUUCGGUGUCCGAGUUGUAAUUUGAAGAAGGUAACUUUGGAGUUGGCUCUUGUCUAUGUUCCUUGGAACAGGACGUCACAGAGGGUGAGAAUCCCGUGCGAUGAGAUGCCCAAUUCUAUGUAAAGUGCUUUCGAAGAGUCGAGUUGUUUGGGAAUGCAGCUCUAAGUGGGUGGUAAAUUCCAUCUAAAGCUAAAUAUUGGCGAGAGACCGAUAGCGAACAAGUACAGUGAUGGAAAGAUGAAAAGAACUUUGAAAAGAGAGUGAAAAAGUACGUGAAAUUGUUGAAAGGGAAGGGCUUGAGAUCAGACUUGGUAUUUUGCGAUCCUUUCCUUCUUGGUUGGGUUCCUCGCAGCUUACUGGGCCAGCAUCGGUUUGGAUGGUAGGAUAAUGACUAAGGAAUGUGGCUCUACUUCGGUGGAGUGUUAUAGCCUUGGUUGAUACUGCCUGUCUAGACCGAGGACUGCGUCUUUUGACUAGGAUGUUGGCAUAAUGAUCUUAAGCCACCCGUCUU